CAGAACGAACGCUGGUGGCGUGUCUUAUACAUGCAAGUCGAGCGAGGCAGCAAUGCCGAGCGGCGAACGGGUGAGUAACGCGUAAGCAAUCUGCCCCAUAUCAGGAAAUACCCUUGCCAACGCGCGGUUAAUGUCCAGGAGAGUGGCCCUCUGCAUGGAGGGUUGACUAGAGAUUUAUCGGUAUGGGAUGAGCUUGCGUCCGAUUAGCUAGUGGCGGGGCAACGGCCCACCAAGGCGACGAUCGGUAGCCGGCCUGAGAGGGUGAUCGGCCACAUUGGGACUGAGAUACGGCCCAGACUCCUACGGGAGGCAGCAGUAGGGAAUAUUGCACAAUGGGGGAAACCCUGAUGCAGCAACGCCACGUGUGGGAAGAAGCAUUUCGGUGUGUAAACCACUGUCAUGAGGGAAUAAGGCCCUUAUCCGUAAGGGACUUGAAUGUACCUUGAGAGGAAGCACCGGCAAACUUCGUGCCAGCAGCCGC
Molecule: ribosomal RNA, 481 nt
Filed under: uncultured bacterium
Lineage: Bacteria
Description: bacterial SSU rRNA
Rfam family: Bacterial small subunit ribosomal RNA
Source: RNAcentral